Molecule: long non-coding RNA, 427 nt
Organism: Dipodomys ordii (Ord's kangaroo rat)
Lineage: Eukaryota; Metazoa; Chordata; Mammalia; Rodentia; Heteromyidae
Exons: 4
Source: RefSeq, a predicted model, not a curated record
GUUUUAGUAUUCACUGAGUGACUUGAACUUAGUUGAGUUCAAUCGCCUGCACCACAGGAAACCACGUCCCUAACUGCUGUUUUCUCUGCUUUCUAUAGCCAACACCCAAAGCCACUCUCAGUGUCAUGGGGAGGAGACUUCACAAGGCAGCAGCUCACAUCUAAGUUUGGUUCCUUCUGUCACAGCUGUGUUGCUGAUUUUCUGCUUUGUACAAGCCUGGCCUUAGUCCUCAGGAAUUCCGGUGACUACAGUUGUCACAAGAAGGAAACAGAUGCAGAAUCAAGGGUAUUCAUCUACUUUGAGCAGAAGCAAGGUUGGCCCUUCAAGCUGCUACUCAUCAUCUGCCACACACACCACUGCUAUAAUAUGUGUACGAAGAAAGACAACUGUAUUCAAGGUGGUAUUGGAUCAGAGUUAAUACAUUUCC